UGACAGCCCUGUCUUAGGUUCCAGCAAGGGGAAGAAGAUAAGCAGGCUUCCAACAUGACAGAGGGCAAACACUGCAGGAUGAGAGAGAUUAGAACCUUGUCCCUGCUUGGGGCAGAAAGAGAAGCCACCCCCUUGCUCCUGAAGCUUCCCUAACCAAUAGCUAUGAAGCUCUGGGGAUGGAAAGAGAAAAUGGUAUGAGCAGUUGUUCAGAAAUGAAAAAGGGAAACCAUGUUAAGAAGGUCCAGCUGAGAACCUGAGUAUCAACCAGUGCCACUAAAAAAGGCAAACAGCCUUAGUAAUUGGAGACUCUACUGAGGGGCACUGAGGCACCCAUCUGGUGCCCAGAUAAUCUGUCUAGAGAAGUCUGACGCCUGCUGGGGGCCCACAUUCAGGAUAUCAGGAAGAGGAUACCAGGUAUGAUAAAGCCAGAGGACUACAACUCACUCAGGGUUUUUCAAGCUGGGUCACACAAGGCUGUGACUAGUAAAUUUAAAAAUAUCAGGAAAUACUUUACAUCCCUUGGGAGUAUGCUGAAGGGAUCAAGAUGGAUGGGAUGUAGUGUUCUCCUCAAUCCUCCUGGUUGGAGACUGGGAUCUGGGCAGAAGGAGGAAAACCAGCCAGUUGAAUGAAUGGCUGCAUGGAUGGUGUCACACCCAGGGCUUUGACUUCUAUGAUGUAAGACAUACCUUGAUAAACUGGCAAUACUGACUUGGGAUGGGACACAAUUGACCACAAAGGGCAAGGAUAUGCUAGGCAGCAAGCUGUUAGGACCCAUCACCAGUGCUUUAAACUAGAUUUGGUGGGGGAAGGGGAUGUACUGCUGAGUAAUAGAGAACUGCCAAGGAAUACUGUCAUUUUAGGAAUCAGCAGGGUAAAACAUCAGAGGUUUUUGGUAGGGCUCCUCUAAAAAGGUAAUAUGGCCAGUAACCCAGCUAAGUGCCUCUACACAGAUGCAUACAGCAUGAGAAAUAUGUAGGAGGAGUUGGGAACUAUGGUGUAAUUGAAAAACUGUAAUCUUAAUGCUACCACAGAAACAUGGUGGGAUGAUUCACGUAACUGGAAUACCAUGUUUGAUGGCUGUCAACAUUUUAGAAGGGACAGGCUAAAGUACGAGAGUGUCGCGUCCUGCCCUUAAAGGGGAGGAAAGAGGUGUCCAGAUUUGCAGAUACCCCUGGUUGGAUUAAGAUAAAAUGAUACACAGAGGUCCACACACGAUCAUUACUUUUAGUGAGAGUCUAAAUACUACAAUCAUCCCCAGAAUGUUGGCACUAUAAUACUUAGAAUCUACCUUAAACUGUGUGGCUCAACUAUACAACUUUAAGGGACAAAAAUAAGUCUUGCAACUACUUAACAACUUUAUGACUUAACAACUGUAUAAGACAUACAGCUUUUAAGAAGACAAAAUAGGUUUUGCAAUUACUUUACAGGAGACAAAGAGCAAAAAGAGAAAACUGAGGAAUACAGAGAAACAAUGAGUCAGAAAAAUGAACUGGAAGAUUAUCAGCAGUCUAUUUCAAAGGCCUGUUUUGAGGAGUUCCAGUGUCAGCCCAUAUAGUUGGAGAAGGGGUGGGGAGUUAAGUGUGCUCAGCUGGAGCUCAUAGUCUCAAAUGGCUAAACAGCAAUAACCAACAAGAAAAAGACAAAGGAGACUACCUCAGGUUCCCUCUCAGACAAUCUUGCAGUACACUGUGCUAAGGUCAUAGACAAGUUUAGAAUAGACGAGUUUGCAAUAAAAGGUUUGUC
Gallus gallus (chicken) is the source of this 1743-nucleotide long non-coding RNA. NCBI's taxonomy places the organism in Eukaryota, Metazoa, Chordata, Aves, Galliformes, Phasianidae. The record is from Ensembl.